UUUCCGUAGGUGAACCAGCGGAGGGAUCAUUACAGGGUUUUCACAACUCCCAACCCUUGCGAACCGUACCCAUUCUGUUCUCGUUGCUUCCGGCGGGGGGGACGGGGGGGCCCGAAACGGCCUCCCCGCCCCGCCCGCCGGGGGCGGCGGGCCCUACGAACCUUUAUAUCUCAACCACCAGAAACCGUCUGAGAAAACAAACAAAAUAAUCAAAACUUUCAACAACGGAUCUCUUGGCUCUG
RNAcentral lists this unclassified non-coding RNA (242 nucleotides) under plant metagenome. RNAcentral describes it as "partial contains small subunit ribosomal RNA, internal transcribed spacer 1, and 5.8S ribosomal RNA". The record is from RNAcentral.